Molecule: transfer RNA, 72 nt
Filed under: Camelus bactrianus (Bactrian camel)
Lineage: Eukaryota; Metazoa; Chordata; Mammalia; Artiodactyla; Camelidae
Also listed under: 2 other names
Rfam family: tRNA
About the family: Transfer RNA (tRNA) molecules are approximately 80 nucleotides in length. Their secondary structure includes four short double-helical elements and three loops (D, anti-codon, and T loops).
Source: Rfam by way of RNAcentral
GAGGGGAUAGCUCAGUGGUAGGGCACGUGCUUAACAUGCACGAGGUCCUAGGUUCAAUCCCCAGUACCUCCA